AGGACCGUAGCGCAGAGGUCGUCGCGCCUUGGCUGCGAGCUGGAGGACGCCGGUUCGAAUCCGGUCGGUCCUG
RNAcentral lists this transfer RNA (73 nucleotides) under Actinomadura parmotrematis. Its description in RNAcentral is "Actinomadura sp. PM05-2 tRNA-Arg". It matches the Rfam family "tRNA". Rfam says of the family: Transfer RNA (tRNA) molecules are approximately 80 nucleotides in length. Their secondary structure includes four short double-helical elements and three loops (D, anti-codon, and T loops). Lineage: Bacteria; Bacillati; Actinomycetota; Actinomycetes; Streptosporangiales; Thermomonosporaceae. The record is from RNAcentral.